Molecule: long non-coding RNA, 3338 nt
Filed under: Citrus sinensis (sweet orange)
Lineage: Eukaryota; Viridiplantae; Streptophyta; Magnoliopsida; Sapindales; Rutaceae
Description: long non-coding RNA (CSIN_LNC004509)
Source: RNAcentral
UCUCACACAAUGUGUUUGAUUACAAAUGUAUGCUCAAUAUGUGAAUAAAUAAAUCAAGAAUGAAUUUAAAACUCAAUGAAUGUUAUAUUCUCGAUUACAAGCUCAAUGAUAAUGUUGUGAUUCACACUUAUUUGAAUUUGAUUGAGAUUAUUUAUAUUUAGAGCUGAAAACUAGCCGUUAUUGACUUUUUGCUCGAAGUCGGAUCGCCGUUAACUCAAAUUCAGAUUGCCAUUUUGACUGGUCCAAGUUACCGUUGGACAUAAUUUCAAAUUGUCGGAUCGUCAUUUUCAAGAUGUCGAAUCGUCAUUUUCAAGAUGUCGGAUCGUUGUUAGUGUCCAUAGGCUAAUCUUCAAUUCUGUUCGAUGUCAGCUAGCCGUUAUCAAAAUGUCGGUUAGUCGUUUGCUACAGUGAACUAUUUUCCAUAAUUAUAUUUUUGCCCCAAAACUUUAUAAAAUUAUAUUGUGGCGUAAAACGAUAUAAAACUUUUCACAUAAGUCCUUCUCUAGAAUUCUAAGCAACACUUGUUAAUUUCAAAGUUCUCAAAAUUCUUUCAAUUAGACCAUAAACUAGAAAAACAACCAAUUUUAUAAAAUCAUUUUUUCAUUAAAUAUAAAACAUUUAUAAUGUGAAAAAAAUGAUUUAUUUAAAAUGUGUAAAAAAAUAAUUUGAGCUUUUAAAAACUUAAUCAUUCUUAAUUUUGUUUGUUAUCAUCAAAAUCAACAUUAUGAAUACAUAAAUGCUAACACAUAUAUCAGUACAGAUAACAUCAUAAACUUUCUCUUCAUACACAACCAUAGAGGAAGAUUAUAUGUUAUCAAUGUAACAAGCCAACAACUAUAAGUCGUGCUAAGUGUGCUAUGUGGAUUAAUCCCAUCAGAUGAUAAAGCCAAUUGAAGAUUUCUCGACUCUUGGGGAAAAUCAUGCCAUUUAUUGUCAAUUAGCUGCCAAGCCAGUGAAUCUGCCGAGUGGCAAAGCUUGCCAUCUCUAGUUCUUUUAUUUUCAUGCAAUGUUAAGUUCUCAACAGUUUUUGGUAAUUGAAACAUUAUUUUGAAUCUAGGAAUUAUUGGAAAAUACCAUAAUAUCUUUUUAGGCAUCCAUUUUUUUUAAUUUGUUUAGUUCCAUCUUUUCUUAUUUGCCACCUAGAUGCUCCAUAACUUGGGCAUUCAAUAAGAUUUUUGAACUCAUUCUUAUAAAAAAUGCAAUCAUUUGGACAUGCAUGUAUUUUCUCAUACUCUAAGACUAAUAUCUUCAUUGUUUUUUUGGCCUCAUACAUUGACUUAGACUUAUUAUUAUCAUUUGGCAAUAUCUCAUUGAAGACUUCUAAUAAAGCUGAAAAUCCACUGUCAGACCAGCCAUAAAGUCCUUUUAUAUUGUACAAUUUCAUUAAACCCGAUAGCUUUGAAUGCUUUGAACCCAGAUAUAAGGUUUUUUCAGCAUCUUCAAGCAUAUUCUUAAAGGAACUAGGAUCUUUGUCACAGUGCUUGAAAUCAUCAUGAACCAUGUCACACAAAUUACUGUAAUUCAGACAUUUAAAAUGCUGAAUUUUUUACUGGUCUUGGCACUUUGCAAAGGUAGGUUUUGGGUCUACCUCACCAUGUCAAUUCCAAACUAAAUAAUUUUUUAAAAAACAUUUUUUAAAUAGAUGUAGCCUCACUUGUUCAUGAGUCAAAAACUUCAUAUUACAACAAGAGGUACAUGUGCAUCUAAUCGACAUUCUAUUUUCAGAAUUAAUAAUGGCAAACUCCUCAAGAAUUCAUCAACCCCAUCAUAAUACUCAUCGGACAAUCAAUCACAGAAUAUCCAAGUUUUGUCUAUAACAUGUAUUUUGACCUGUUGAUUUAUUAGAUGUUGUUAGCCUAAUAAGUUUAAUUAAAUUUGCACAAAUAACUUCAAACUUUUAGGUUUAAAACAAAAAUACAAAUUACAAAACAAAGCAAAGUUCUAUUUGCUUUAAGUCACUUAAAUACAUGUUCACAUCAACAAGUCAACAAAACAUGCCAUACACAUUUUUCAAAACUUCACUUUCAUAUUAGAAUAAACAUAAGUAUAUGUAUAUCAAAUAAACAAUCAAUUUAAUUCCAAAAUAACCUAUGCAACAAAAACAAAACUAAAAUUGUGCAUGUAAAUAAUUAAAAAAUGUUAAUACAAGUAAAACUCAGAACACAACAAUAAUAGAAACUAAAAAAAAGUGAGUGAUUUGUAAGACUUACCUGAUGAAAACAGCUUUUAUACCCAAUACUUUUGUGAUUAUUCAGAAGCGAGAGAUAGAACUGAACAUAUUGAUUCAAGUGAUUAGAAAAGAAAAAUGCAAGAUUCAACAAAAAGUAAUAACAAACUAAAUAUUUUGGUCGAAAGUCAAUAAUGUCAUAUUAAAAUCCAAACAAAAGUUUCCUAUACAGGAAACAAAAGUUCCCUUUUAAAAAAAAAAAUUAUUAAUUUAAAGAUCAUGCAACCCAAAAAAAAAAAGACAAGCUACCUGCCGUAGUCAAUAAUCAAUGUUCAAUUAUUCACGUCUUAUUUGUUGCAUUUACAUUGACAUUAUAAUCCAUUAAAUCCAAUGAAAGUGCAUAUGAAAUUAAUUAAUGGUGUGAAAUAUCUAAUAAGUCUCCUAAACUACAUGCCAUAAUUAAAUUCAUUCUCUAAAUUUGCAAUUUUGUGAAUGUGAUGAUAAAAUCAUAAGCAUUACUAACAAAACUCCAUAGAAUGAAAUGACAGAAAGUGUCAGGGAGUUACAAACAAUCAAGUUUACUAAAAGAAUUAAGAAUUUUAACGCCCAUUCUAUAGUUAAAGCGCAAUAAAACAACAUGUAUGAGCAAAAUAUAAACUAUAAAUUACAAAACUAAUUAUUAAGAAGAAAAAAAUGGUACCUUUAGAAACGAAUGGAUCGGAAGGGAGAGAGAGAACCAAAUUGUUAUAGAGACGUAUUACAUUGGUUCGGCCUUGGUUGGGAUUGACGAUGGGGUUUGAUUAGAAUGUGCAAUAUCAUGGAUUUCAGAGUUUUGCUGUUUACUUGGCUUUGACAGAGAAGAUGAAUCCAAAGGAAAGAGAACCAAAUCAUGAUAGAAACAAAUUGCUUUGCUUCGGCCUUGGUUGGGAUUGACGAUGGGGUUUGAUUAGAAUGUGCAAUAUCAUGGAUUUUAGGGUUUUGCUGUUUACUUAUCUUUGACAGAGAAAACGAAUCGAGAGGAGAAGAAUGAGUUCAUGACUUAGAAAAAUAUGUAGCGUUGACUUUUAUCUACGGUUUGGUUUAAGACAAUGUGUUUAACUUAUCUUUUAGGUCUUUUCUUUUUCUUUUCUUUUUUUAUUGAAACUACACUGUUUCUAAUUGGAAACUCGAA